Molecule: ribosomal RNA, 427 nt
Filed under: uncultured Lysobacter sp.
Lineage: Bacteria; Pseudomonadati; Pseudomonadota; Gammaproteobacteria; Lysobacterales; Lysobacteraceae
Description: bacterial SSU rRNA
Rfam family: Bacterial small subunit ribosomal RNA
Source: RNAcentral
UGGGGAAUAUUGGACAAUGGGCGCAAGCCUGAUCCAGCCAUGCCGCGUGGGUGAAGAAGGCCUUCGGGUUGUAAAGCCCUUUUGUCCGGAAAGAAAAGCUUCGGGUUAAUACCCCGGGGUUAUGACGGUACCGGAAGAAUAAGCACCGGCUAACUUCGUGCCAGCAGCCGCGGUAAUACGAAGGGUGCAAGCGUUACUCGGAAUUACUGGGCGUAAAGCGUGCGUAGGUGGUUUGUUAAGUCUGAUGUGAAAGCCCUGGGCUCAACCUGGGAAUUGCAUUGGAUACUGGCAGGCUAGAGUGCGGUAGAGGGUAGUGGAAUUCCCGGUGUAGCAGUGAAAUGCGUAGAGAUCGGGAGGAACACCAGUGGCGAAGGCGACUACCUGGACCAGCACUGACACUGAGGCACGAAAGCGUGGGGAGCAAACA